RNAcentral lists this ribosomal RNA (486 nucleotides) under Epicoccum nigrum. Its description in RNAcentral is "eukaryotic LSU rRNA". The stretch from base 126 to 279 matches the Rfam family "5.8S ribosomal RNA". The record is from RNAcentral. Lineage: Eukaryota; Fungi; Ascomycota; Dothideomycetes; Pleosporales; Didymellaceae.
CGGUCUGCUACCUCUUACCCAUGUCUUUUGAGUACCUUCGUUUCCUCGGCGGGUCCGCCCGCCGAUUGGACAACAUUCAAACCCUUUGCAGUUGCAAUCAGCGUCUGAAAAAACAUAAUAGUUACAACUUUCAACAACGGAUCUCUUGGUUCUGGCAUCGAUGAAGAACGCAGCGAAAUGCGAUAAGUAGUGUGAAUUGCAGAAUUCAGUGAAUCAUCGAAUCUUUGAACGCACAUUGCGCCCCUUGGUAUUCCAUGGGGCAUGCCUGUUCGAGCGUCAUUUGUACCUUCAAGCUCUGCUUGGUGUUGGGUGUUUGUCUCGCCUCUGCGUGUAGACUCGCCUUAAAACAAUUGGCAGCCGGCGUAUUGAUUUCGGAGCGCAGUACAUCUCGCGCUUUGCACUCAUAACGACGACGUCCAAAAGUACAUUUUUACACUCUUGACCUCGGAUCAGGUAGGGAUACCCGCUGAACUUAAGCAUAUCAAA